Molecule: small RNA, 127 nt
Filed under: Marmota monax (woodchuck)
Lineage: Eukaryota; Metazoa; Chordata; Mammalia; Rodentia; Sciuridae
Source: RNAcentral
GCCAGGUGCUGUGGUACAUACCUGUAGUCCCAGCAGCUUAGGAGGCUGAGACAGGAGGAUCAUGAGUUCAAGGUCAGCCCCAGCAACUUAGCAAGGCCCUGAGCAACUCAGUGAGACUCUGUCUCUA